Molecule: non-coding RNA, 239 nt
Filed under: Parahaemophilus parainfluenzae
Lineage: Bacteria; Pseudomonadati; Pseudomonadota; Gammaproteobacteria; Pasteurellales; Pasteurellaceae
Description: Haemophilus parainfluenzae Aggregatibacter sRNA JA03
Rfam family: Aggregatibacter sRNA JA03 (bases 5-182)
Source: RNAcentral
AACAACUUUAGAGUGUAUAAAUCAUUAUUUAAUGUUGUUACAAGGUAUUGCCAAUUCAGAUUUUGCAUUGCUUGAGAAGUAUUCGUGACCUGUGCAUAACUCUGUGAUCUUAUUAAUACGUAGCUUUUACUAACCUUGUAAUUGAUUUCGCAUAAUGUAUAUUAUGUUAAAUUAAAUACAUGAAUGCGUCACAAAUCAAAAUAGAUAACUAUCCUACUUUUAUGCACUGGUUAAAAUAA